GAUGAACGCUGGCGGCGUGCCUAAUACAUGCAAGUCGAGCGAACAGACGAGGAGCUUGCUCCUCUGACGUUAGCGGCGGACGGGUGAGUAACACGUGGAUAACCUACCUAUAAGACUGGGAUAACUUCGGGAAACCGGAGCUAAUACCGGAUAAUAUAUUGAACCGCAUGGUUCAAUAGUGAAAGACGGUUUUGCUGUCACUUAUAGAUGGAUCCGCGCCGCAUUGGCUAGUUGGUAAGGUAACGGCUUACCAAGGCAACGAUGCGUAGCCGACCUGAGAGGGUGAUCGGCCACACUGGAACUGAGACACGGUCCAGACUCCUACGGGAGGCAGCAGUAGGGAAUCUUCCGCAAUGGGCGAAAGCCUGACGGAGCAACGCCGCGUGAGUGAUGAAGGUCUUCGGAUCGUAAAACUCUGUUAUUAGGGAAGAACAGAUGUGUAAGUAACUAUGCACGUCUUGACGGUACCUAAUCAGAAAGCCACGGCUAACUACGUG
RNAcentral lists this ribosomal RNA (497 nucleotides) under uncultured bacterium. RNAcentral's name for it is "partial 16S ribosomal RNA". It matches the Rfam family "Bacterial small subunit ribosomal RNA", at positions 28 to 507 of the family's 1533-position model. The record is from RNAcentral.